This 253-nucleotide ribosomal RNA is filed under the name uncultured bacterium. RNAcentral describes it as "partial 16S ribosomal RNA". It matches the Rfam family "Bacterial small subunit ribosomal RNA", at positions 524 to 776 of the family's 1533-position model. The record is from RNAcentral.
UACGUAGGGUGCAAGCGUUAAUCGGGAUUACUGGGCGUAAAGCGUGCGCAGGCGGUUGUGCAAGACAGAUGUGAAAUCCCCGGGCUCAACCUGGGAACUGCAUUUGUGACUGCACGGCUGGAGUGCGGCAGAGGGGGAUGGAAUUCCGCGUGUAGCAGUGAAAUGCGUAGAUAUGCGGAGGAACACCGAUGGCGAAGGCAAUCCCCUGGGCCUGCACUGACGCUCAUGCACGAAAGCGUGGGGAGCAAACAGG